RNAcentral lists this microRNA (21 nucleotides) under Corchorus olitorius. Its description in RNAcentral is "ath-miR188". Lineage: Eukaryota; Viridiplantae; Streptophyta; Magnoliopsida; Malvales; Malvaceae. The record is from RNAcentral.
UAAUUCAAGAUUUGUGAAGAA